AUGUUGCCCCCACUGCUGGGGCCAGCAGAGGAGAAAUGGAGCGCCCCAGCCCUCUGGAUAUGUCUCCCUCAGCUUGGUACUUGGGAACAGGCACAUCACACCUUCCUACGAGACCCAAUGGCCUCCUGUCUCUCAACACAUCCAUUGCCUGGAUCUGUUUCUGGAGCGACGGUGGUGGUCCCAACACACCCAGGCGAAGGGAGCUGGAUUAUUCAGGAAGGAAGGUGGGGAGAUGACCCCCUAGUCAGACCUGAACCCUGCCGGACUACAUCACUGAAGCCAGAGGGAGAAGAUCUUGACAUUCCACUGGGUGUCUUCCGCCCCAUCUGCCGUAAAGUCCUAGGUGGGAAUGACAGAGAUUUAACCAGAGACUUUCUUUGUGAUGAACUCAUUCUCAGAGGGCAUGAAAGCCUCAGCUGGGAUCAGAGAUGCUGGAACCUGCCCCUGCCUGUGAAAGUGGCUGCCGGCUGACGAGAGGUUAAUGCUACAAUAUUAGAUGCCUGGUUACUGAGGCUUUUGGGUGCACGUGGUUCACAGUUCAAGAUUUUCUUUGCAAUCCGGAGGUCUAGAAGUGAGGCGGGGAGUUAAAUGAAAGUGGAGUCUCAUCAUCUGAUUCCAGAACCUGGAAAAAUUGCAAAUUUCACAAGACUUCUAAAAAUCACAGGCGUUGGCAACCCUGACAGAUAUGCCGACGUCUAAACCCGGACACGCAGAUGAGAUAGAAGAGUGUCAGUGCUAGAAAUGGGGCCGCUGUAGCCUCAUGGGAAUUUAUACCGGUAUUAUAUGAAGAUUUGAAACUCUUGUUGAGUGUUAGCAAAUGGUUCCUGGAUCAUCUAACCGUAACAGUGAAGCUGCUGAGCUCAGAAAAUAGAGGGAGUGAUGGUGCAACACUGGAUCAUUUUUAUAUUUUCAGUAAUCUGCUGGGGCAGGGAAUUGAGUAAAAGUGGACUGAAGAUCUUAUUAUUCAGGUAAGUGGCUCUGGGGUGCAUCAGCUUUCUGGGACUGAAGCAUCCCCAAGAAGCUGGAUUUUGUAGGCAAGUGCCUGGUCCAGGAGUGAGUUGUGCAGGAGCAGGAAUUUUGAGCUCUCUGCUAGAGAAGAACAGCUUUGAUCUUGGCAAGCUGUUCCCAAGCUUGAUAAAAUUGAGAUUGGAGCAAAGUCCAUCAUUAGGGACGGGGAAGAAGAUCUGUAGACGGCAGCAUUAGGAAC
This 1207-nucleotide long non-coding RNA is filed under the name Pelusios castaneus (West African mud turtle). RNAcentral describes it as "lncRNA (ENSPCEG00000011379.1)". The record is from RNAcentral. Lineage: Eukaryota; Metazoa; Chordata; Testudines; Pelomedusidae.